This 2871-nucleotide unclassified non-coding RNA is filed under the name Hevea brasiliensis (rubber tree). The record is from RNAcentral. Lineage: Eukaryota; Viridiplantae; Streptophyta; Magnoliopsida; Malpighiales; Euphorbiaceae.
GUCGGCUACUCUAAUAAAUCCAUUAUCAAGAAAAAAAAUAAUGUUACAUAAUUUUACAAAUAAGCAAGUGGGAAGCACAACUCAAAAACAGGAGCUGCCGGAAGAAAAAAAACGAAAGGCAACAAAUGGAAAAGCAAAGCCUAGGAAAAGAGGCAUAAAGACAGUGCCCUUUUGCACUAAUUCCAUUGGAAGACAGCAAUAAAAUCAAUAGCUGUAUGGUUGUCAUUGCUUGUUUUGUAUCAUUGAUUCAUUGGGCUAAGCUUUAUCAAAUCUUAAUUAUUGGCUGCAAGUAGCCACACUUUUAUUUAAAGUGGCUAACAAACUGUAGCUGUCGCCCAGUUUGCAGGGAAAGUUUAGUAAUUUAACUAAAAGCUAUCAUAGUUUCUGGAUUAUAUAGUCCUCAGUAUGCUAAGAUGAAAAUGAUUAAUUCUUUACUCUAGAAGAAGGUACAAAUUAACUCAUCCUUGAAAUCAUGGUGCUAAAAAAAUCAGCUUGGUAUUUAACAUAUUCUCUUUGCUUAUCUUUCAGCUCCUUGUAGACGAGUUUCACAUCUCUAUUAUUUGGAUCAAUGGUUAAAGCCCUGUUUAUAUCAUCUUCAGCUUUCUCGAGUUCUAACGUUUUCAAGUAUGCCUGGGAUCGUCUGAACAGAGCUUUGAUAUUGAAAGGUUCCUGUUCUAAAACCUGCCAUGAAUAGAACAUAACCCCUUUAUAUCUGAAAACUUGUGCUUCAUUUAGUUUUCUGAAGUUAAAGCAUUUAGGAUUGCCUAUAGGUAAGCUUCCUUUUCCCUAGCAAAAAUAUCUUUACAAGAGAUGCUAGCCAAUGUUAUCACAAUUGUGCAAUGUUUCAGUGCAGAAACAUUGUAACAGGCAUAGAAAAUAGGCUAAAAAAGAUUGACCAAAUACAUACAUCGUGAAAUGAGAUAGAUGUUUUAGACGAUCAAAGAUAGAAUCCCAUUACGCAUUCAAGAUGGAAGCAGGCAUAUGCUGUUCUAAUUCUAUAUUAUCUAGUCUUUAUCAGUCUGUCUAUAUAGGUUUAUUAUACAUAUGUGAGAGGUGAGGAAAAGGAAGAAACCUUUGUGCAUAAUCUUGAAGCUUCAAGAUACUCCCCUAGUUUAAGCUUGCAAGCUGCAUUGUUCAAAUUACACAAUAACCGCAACCCUUUGGCAAGGCACUUUUGAUCAUCAGUGAAAGAGUGGUCAAAAUCGAUAUAGUUUGCUGCCUGAAGUUCAUAGUUACGCAAAAUUUGCAAUUCCAAUAAGAAAAAUAAUUAUAAAUAUAAUAUCAUCAAUCUCCUAUCUUCAUAGGCUCUAAAGAUAAUAACUUGCCUUUUCAUAUUUCUUGGAGGCACGCCAGAAUUUCUCAGCCUUGAACAAUGCAUUUCCAUCCAUCUUCUUCCUUUCACAUGCUUCUAAUUUCUCAAAUGCACCCAUCUUCCAAAAUGGUUUCUCCUUGAUAAAGUCAAUCAGCUCAACUUCAUAGUGAAGCACAGAAUUUGCAGGAAGCAUUCCUGAAAUCUCAUGACCAGACAAAUACUCAGCACUGACUGUGACUAGAGCUUGUUCUCCUUUCUUCAUUGUCAUUAUUGCUCUGUCCAAACCCUCAUUUAUUUGGUCUUCCAGAGUUAUAAAUUCAAAAGGUUCUUCAGCAGUUCCCUUCUUCUCAAUAACUAUUCUAUCUUCCAGUUUGCCAGUAUAUGCCACUUUCACUUGGGAUCCGUCAUUAGGACGUUCAAAGCCUUCACCAGCUUGUACAAUUGUUUUGAGCACUUUCUUAUUUCCUGUGAUGUCAAUUACACUUUUCCAUGAUACAAGCUCAAGCUUGAUGCUGAAACUAGAAUGCGGAUGAAUGCUUCUGCCAAUGUCUCCCGGAACAUUUACAUUUCGGCUGAACCCAUAAGAGCACUUUACUGAUAGCUCUGCCACUUCACCCUUUCUCAUCGUCUUCACAGCUUUGCCAAAGGCAGGGCAUAGAUAACCAUCACCUAUGUGAAACUCUUCUCCUUCUUCAGAUUUGGAAACAAGCAGUCCAUUCUCAAGCCCAGCCUCAUACUUCACUAAAAGGAUAGAAAAUGCAUUACUAUUUGAUAAUAAGAUACUGAAUUGAGGAAUUAUUACAUAAGAGCUGCAUACUCAGUCCUGUGGUGAAUUCAGAACAUGUCUGAUAUUUACUGGAAUUAGGAUUCUUCAAAUUUUGCUUUACAAUACUAAUCUAAGCAGAUUAUAUAAAGCAAAUUCCGAAUUGUUGUCCAUCCUGAUCAGAUUGUCAUUUACUAUUAUUACUAUUACCUAAAACUUUAUCUCCAUCUCUGGGUGUGGCCCAUCCCUCGCCCUCCUUUAUUAUCCUCUUCAAUAUUCCUCCAUCACCUGCUAUAUCCCUGAUGCUGCUCCAAGAUAGCAUCUCAACAUCAAAAAAGAGAGCUGCAUUGGAGGGAAUCAGUGGUGGAGAACCAGCUUCCUCAUAGGCCAAAUUUGGUGGUACUUUGAAAAUUGCUCUCUCGCCUUUCUUCAUUGUGGCAGCUCCAUCAUCCAAUCCUUUGAUAACUUCACCUUGGCCUAAUUUGAAGAUAAAGGGAACCCCUUUAUCACGAGUUGAAUCAAGACAUGCCCCGCCUUCAACGUGCCCGCUGAGAUGAACUUCCACCUCGUCUCCAGGAAAUGGAGUUUGCCAGGAAAUUCCUUUCUUGAGAAUCUUUUUCCGGAGACCUUGCUUUCCGAUUUGCUUCUCUGAAAAUUUUGAAUCUCGGUCUUGAAUGUCAGCUUCCAUGGAAGAUUUCAUGGAUGCGAGUGCCAUUUGAAUGGAAGGAAGGUUUCAGAGAGAGGGGGAGUGUGUGUAUAUGCGUUUGAGUUGAAGAUAAGCCGUUGUUGAUUUCCC